CGGAUUGAAGGCUGAAAUUCGCCUUCAUGAAGCUGGAAUUGCUAGUAAUGGCAGGUCAGCAUACUGCCGUGAAUACGUUCCCGGGCCUUGUACACACCGCCCGUCACACCAUGAGAGUUGGAAAUACCCGAAGCCUGUGAGCUAACAGUAAUGAGGCAGCAGUCGAAGGUAGAGCCAAUGAUUGGGGUGAAGUCGUAACAAGGUAAC
Molecule: ribosomal RNA, 207 nt
Filed under: uncultured bacterium
Lineage: Bacteria
Description: partial 16S ribosomal RNA
Rfam family: Bacterial small subunit ribosomal RNA
Source: RNAcentral